Molecule: non-coding RNA, 70 nt
Organism: Camelus ferus (Wild Bactrian camel)
Lineage: Eukaryota; Metazoa; Chordata; Mammalia; Artiodactyla; Camelidae
Source: Rfam
GGACAUAGUUCAGCAGUAGAGCACAUGCUUAGCAUGCGUGAGGUCCUGGGUUCAAUCCCUAGUACUUCCG